Molecule: ribosomal RNA, 253 nt
Filed under: uncultured bacterium
Lineage: Bacteria
Description: partial 16S ribosomal RNA
Rfam family: Bacterial small subunit ribosomal RNA
Source: RNAcentral
UACGUAGGUCGCAAGCGUUGUCCGGAAUCAUUGGGCGUAAAGCGCGUGUAGGCGGUCCGGUAAGUCCGCUGUGAAAGUCGGGGGCUCAACCCUCGGAUGCCGGUGGAUACUGUCGGGCUUGAGUACGGAAGAGGCGAGUGGAAUUCCUGGUGUAGCGGUGAAAUGCGCAGAUAUCAGGAGGAACACCAAUUGCGAAGGCAGCUCGCUGGGACGUUACUGACGCUGAGACGCGAAAGCGUGGGGAGCAAACAGG